RNAcentral lists this ribosomal RNA (395 nucleotides) under uncultured bacterium. RNAcentral describes it as "bacterial SSU rRNA". It matches the Rfam family "Bacterial small subunit ribosomal RNA", at positions 151 to 518 of the family's 1533-position model. The record is from RNAcentral.
CCGAAAGGAGUGCUAAUACCGGAUGAGAUCAUUUCCCGCAUGGGAGAGUGAAGAAAGAUGGCCUCUACAUGUAAGCUAUCGCUAAAGGAUGGGCCUGCGUCUGAUUAGCGUAGUUGGUAGUCGUAACGGACUACCAAGGCGAUGAUCAGUAGCCGGUCUGAGAGGAUGAACGGCCCACAUUGGGACUGAGACACGGCCCAAACUCCUACGGGAGGCAGCAGUGGGGAAUCUUCCGCAAUGGACGAAAGUCUGACGGAGCAACGCCGCGUGAGUGAUGAAGGAUUUCGGGUUCUGUAAAACUCUGUUGUUUAUGACGAACGUGCAGUGUGUGAACAAUGCAUUGCAAUGACGGUAGUAAACGAGGAAGCCACGGCUAACUACGUGCCAGCCGCAGC